UCACCCCCUACCCCCCCCCCCCCCCCCCCCCCCCCCCCCACUAGGGUGCUCUGCAUGUCUGUCUUGCAUCCCCCCCUCCCUCCCUCCCCCCCCCUCCUCCUGCCUCAUCCCUGCCUCUCCACUCUCUUUGGUGCUGAUGUGGCUUCUCCAGCUGUCACUUCUUGUUUUGAUUUGACGUCCAUGUGUGUGUGUGUGUGUGUGUGUGUUCGCAGCACACGCGGACCAAAAGAGGUCCGUCACCUUCACGGAGAAUCAAGGCUUGGCCAAGCCGCCGACUCCCAGCACGUCGGAGCCUCCGUGUGACGGCAGGAAGGCGAGCGACACCCCGUCCAAGUCCCCGACGCUGGAGGUUCCCCCGGCUUCUUCUUCUUCUUCUUCCUCGUCCACGGUGACUGCCGACCUGCACGGCCACGUGGGCACAAAGGCGCCUCCAGCCAUCACCAGCAAGGAGAAGAGGGAGCAGUGGGGGCUCCGCAGCAGCCUCUCCCCCCCGCCCUCCAUCUCCCGCCCCUCCACCCCGACCCCGCCGUCCAGAACCUGCUCGCCUCUGCCGCUGUCCCGCACCUCCUCGCCGCUGCCCCCUCCGCUCCCCGUGCUCUGCACGGCCCCGGCCCCCGGCCCCCCGCCCCCUCCGCCCCUCCCCCCGCCCCCGCCGGGGCCGUCCCGGAUCAGGGAGAGCCCCGGGGACGAGGACACCACGGCCCUCCUCCCCCGCGGCGACACGCUGCUGCGGCUCAGCGAGGACGACGGCACCGAGAACCCCCUCCUCACGCCGCUGCUGUCCCCGCCGUCGCCGCGGCGAUCCUCGCCACGCCAGUCCCCCCUCCCCCUGUCCCCGGUAGACCUGGACCUGGAUGAGUCUCACGUGUGAGAUGGGGACGAUUCGAGAUCAACCAGCAUCAGUUUCUCUCUCUUCCCCAGUCCUCCUCAGAUUAUCCACCUGAAUGUAGAUUAUCAGCUCCACACUUUGUUUAGACACUUUCUCCCACAUGGGGGCGCCAUAUUCAUUUCUGUUUAGCCCAGUUUCAUCUUCAACCAGCGCCAUUGUAACCAUUAAAUUUAAUCUUUGGGUGUCAAACAGAAGGCCCAUGAGAAAACGUGUUGUAAAAAUAUCAACAUUUUCAUCCUAUAUGUUUUGUGAACAAAGAAAACCUUUAACCCAGAGGUGUCAAACGCAUUUUAGUUUAGACCGAUUUCAUCUUGAGUGGGCCGGAUCAGGAAAAUAAAGUCAUAACUUUUAAAUUUAAACUUUAUUCAAGUUUAGAAAUGUCUAUACUUUCACAAAAAACAAAAAAACAAAACCAGGAACAGACGACAAUCUCAACAUAAAGCCAAUUUUAUUAAAACCUUCUGCUGUUGCAUUAUGGGUGUUUUAACAAACUCACACUGACAACAUGGCUUUGGGGGUAAUGCUAACAUCUCAGCUCGGGGUCUCAGUGUUGUGUUGCGCCCGCUACUCUGAAGACAUUUGUCACAACAUUUUGGCGGGCUGGAUCGGAGCUCCUUGCAGGCCCGUUUUGGCCCACGGGCCUUAUGUUUGACACCGGUACUCCAAUGUCGACGUCGUUUAAUACAUACACAAUGACAGCUCGACAGGUUAUAAACACAAAUUCCUAUCAAAUAGACUAAAGCCAUUCAUAAGGCAAAAAGGGAAUGACUUUUUAUUAAAUAUACAGAAUAUUAUGUGUAUUAUAGCUAUAAAUGUUGCAAUCAAACAUCUGUGAGAUGUUAUAUUUUAGCAGAUUACAUGUUUUCUGUCACUUAUGCAGCAAAAAGUGAAAGAAAUUGAAUUCAGAUGCAAAUUAAGGAAGAGAUUGUACUUGAUUUCAUGCAUAUAAUAUGUGGUUAUGUACAUAUCUCAAAGUCAC
RNAcentral lists this long non-coding RNA (1868 nucleotides) under Salarias fasciatus (jewelled blenny). Its description in RNAcentral is "lncRNA (ENSSFAG00005012081.1)". Lineage: Eukaryota; Metazoa; Chordata; Actinopteri; Blenniiformes; Blenniidae. The record is from RNAcentral.